Non-coding RNA from Cyanobacteria bacterium 13_1_40CM_2_61_4, 68 nucleotides. The record is from Rfam. Lineage: Bacteria; Bacillati; Cyanobacteriota.
CCUGGUGUGCUGCCACCAGUACCCUGCCAAGACAUGCGGCCAGGGCCACCGGGCGGUAUGAAGCUCUG